This 866-nucleotide ribosomal RNA is filed under the name uncultured organism. RNAcentral's name for it is "SSU rRNA". It matches the Rfam family "Bacterial small subunit ribosomal RNA", at positions 40 to 899 of the family's 1533-position model. The record is from RNAcentral.
CUACAGGCUUAACACAUGCAAGUCGAGGGCUUGCAUGAACUUAGCUUGCUAAGUUUGAUGGCGACCGGCGCACGGGUGAGUAACACGUAUCCAACCUGCCGAUGACUCGGGGAUAGCCUUUCGAAAGAAAGAUUAAUACCCGAUGGCAUAGUUCUUCCGCAUGGUAGAACUAUUAAAGAAUUUCGGUCAUCGAUGGGGAUGCGUUCCAUUAGGUUGUUGGCGGGGUAACGGCCCACCAAGCCUUCGAUGGAUAGGGGUUCUGAGAGGAAGGUCCCCCACAUUGGAACUGAGACACGGUCCAAACUCCUACGGGAGGCAGCAGUGAGGAAUAUUGGUCAAUGGACGAGAGUCUGAACCAGCCAAGUAGCGUGAAGGAUGACUGCCCUAUGGGUUGUAAACUUCUUUUAUACGGGAAUAAAGUGAGGCACGUGUGCCUUUUUGUAUGUACCGUAUGAAUAAGGAUCGGCUAACUCCGUGCCAGCAGCCGCGGUAAUACGGAGGAUCCGAGCGUUAUCCGGAUUUAUUGGGUUUAAAGGGAGCGUAGGCGGACGCUUAAGUCAGUUGUGAAAGUUUGCGGCUCAACCGUAAAAUUGCAGUUGAUACUGGGUGUCUUGAGUACAGUAGAGGCAGGCGGAAUUCGUGGUGUAGCGGUGAAAUGCUUAGAUAUCACGAAGAACUCCGAUUGCGAAGGCAGCCUGCUGGACUGUAACUGACGCUGAUGCUCGAAAGUGUGGGUAUCAAACAGGAUUAGAUACCCUGGUAGUCCACACAGUAAACGAUGAAUACUCGCUGUUUGCGAUAUACAGUAAGCGGCCAAGCGAAAGCGUUAAGUAUUCCACCUGGGGAGUACGCCGGCAACGGUGAAA